Molecule: non-coding RNA, 28 nt
Filed under: Mus musculus (house mouse)
Lineage: Eukaryota; Metazoa; Chordata; Mammalia; Rodentia; Muridae
Source: RNAcentral
UCUUCAAGUGAAGAGCUCGCUAAAGGUC